UAAUACGAACCGGACGAACGUUAUUCGGAAUUACUGGGCUUAAAGAGUACGUAGGCGGUCUGGUAAGUUGGGUGUGAAAUCCCUCGGCUCAACCGAGGAAUUGCGCUCAAAACUACCAGACUUGAGGGAGACAGAGGUGAGCGGAACUGAUGGUGGAGCGGUGAAAUGCGUUGAUAUCAUCAGGAACACCGGUGGCGAAGGCGGCUCACUGGGUCUCUUCUGACGCUGAGGUACGAAAGCUAGGGGAGCGAACGGGAUUAGACACCCCGGUAGUCCUAGCUGUAAACGAUGAGCACUAGGUUGAGGGAACCUCCACAUUCUCUCGACCGUAGCGAAAGUGUUAAGUGCUCCGCCUGGGGAGUAUGGUCGCAAGGCUG
This 377-nucleotide ribosomal RNA is filed under the name uncultured Planctomycetota bacterium. RNAcentral describes it as "bacterial SSU rRNA". It matches the Rfam family "Bacterial small subunit ribosomal RNA", at positions 521 to 896 of the family's 1533-position model. Lineage: Bacteria; Pseudomonadati; Planctomycetota. The record is from RNAcentral.